AAAAAACAAUUCAGGGACAAUGAUUCAUUUAUAUAUUUGUAUUAAAAUCCAAUGAUUUAUUUUUCAGUCCUUGUAAUUUGCUUAGCAAAAUACUUAAGAACCUAACUUCAGUCGGUGCACUCAGUUCAUAAGGCUUUUGGAGCAAGCUCCUGAAUACUGUUCUCUUGGGCCAGGAAACAGGGGUGUCUGAGCUUGUGUGCUAUGUUUGAGCUAGCAUACCCUCCCUUUAACGCUCAUAUCCUGGGAAAGAGCUCCUAAUAGUACUAUAAAUUAUAGUGCAACUUAGGCUUUUUUCUUUUGUUGAGGCACCAGGAGUUACUUGUGGGUGCUUGUUCAUUGUUUUCUCUCCUAUGAGUUUUGACUCGAAAAUUUUCAACACUUAAACAUCAGAAAUCAUAUAAACAUAAGAAGAAAGAAUGUUGUUGGCUGUUUGCUAGAUCAAAUAUCUAGUCUAUUGAAAGUCAAGACUCAUACUUCAUAUACACGCACAUGGACAGUUCUUGUGCCUAACAGUAAUAUCUGUCGCUCA
This 529-nucleotide unclassified non-coding RNA is filed under the name Hevea brasiliensis (rubber tree). The record is from RNAcentral. Lineage: Eukaryota; Viridiplantae; Streptophyta; Magnoliopsida; Malpighiales; Euphorbiaceae.